GGAGUCUGGCUGCUGUUUCUGCUUCACGAGUGAUAUUCGACGGUGUCAAAGCCUAAACCAAGUGGAACGGAGGCACACAUGUGUGAAACUGCCCAACUGACCUUUCGACUCUGAACCUGCCAUAAGCACGAUAAUGGAACGCUGGCCUGCUCUAUUCACAGAAGACCAGAUCUACAUGAAGUACAGUAGGAUUGUGGGCAAGAACCUCAAAAAAUAAUUCUUUGAGGGCAUCGAUCGGCACAGUCCUUGUCUCGUUGAAAUAUUUUGAUGUAAGAGAGGGAUCAUUGGGCAGCAGUUGACUCAGCUAUCACAAGAGACCAAGACUACAGAUCCAACAGAUAUUCGUACAAUGAUGCUCAGAGGCCUUCUCCAAUGACUUUUUCAAAGCUUGCUUUGACUCAGAUGAUGAUGAUUCCUACCAACACAUCGACAUUAGGAUCCUUCUUGUUGAGCAGUCAACAAGAAGAUGCUGCAUCUCUAUCCAGCAUCUUUGAAGAUAAUCAUUGAGGAAAAAGUGGUGAUGGUUAACAUUGAAGACCUGCUGAGGGCUGUUUGUCUUAUAUUUGGACUUGCAUACGCACUUCACCUCAACUACCCCAAGUCGAUGAAGCACAGAUUCCAGUUCAUUCAACAGGUACUUCUAUCGUUGGGCCAGAGUGCGCUAAAACCAAGGUUGCAAACACUGAAAAAUGUAAUGAUCUUAAGUGAAGGUCAAUGUGGUUUUAGGUCAGUUAAUACAAGAUGGUUUAAAAAAGGCCAUGCACCCACAAAAACUCAAAAUCCACAAUUUGCUUUGCCCUUUCUACAUGACUGUAUCUGUAAAAAUAAUUCUGUGGGUAUAUUUCUGACUAUUUUUCUUACGAACACAAAUUAAUUUGUUAACACUCGAUGUAUAACA
Limanda limanda (common dab) is the source of this 898-nucleotide long non-coding RNA. RefSeq lists it as uncharacterized. The record is from RefSeq and is a predicted model, not a curated record. Lineage: Eukaryota; Metazoa; Chordata; Actinopteri; Pleuronectiformes; Pleuronectidae. The transcript has 5 exons.